Molecule: small nucleolar RNA, 133 nt
Filed under: Nannospalax galili (Upper Galilee mountains blind mole rat)
Lineage: Eukaryota; Metazoa; Chordata; Mammalia; Rodentia; Spalacidae
Source: RNAcentral
UUUAAGGCCUAUCCUGAUGGCAUUCCUGGGCAUCACACAUCUUUGGAAUUGCCUUGUACACUAACUCUGUGGUUUUGCUUUGCACUUGGGACUUUCUUCGAUCUAUGGGGGAAAAAAAAACUGUAAGACACUU